UUUGGCUAAGGUAGCAGUUCACAACCACUGUCGUAGCCCUUUCCUGUAGUAGCGUAUGGUGGCAGAAGCGGUGGCUUACCUCAUGUUGCUGUCGAAAGCAGGCUAGAGGUCUGGCCAUCCUUAUUCGAGGGAAGGGAACAAUGGCAUAUGCUAGGAUGACCAUCGGAUGAGGGCUGGAGGAAUGACCCAAUUAACUUCAAUAGAGAGAGGGAGGAUGGCUGUGGGAGAACCUCUGUUUAUUGUCUCCCUCAUCUUCUUUUAUAUUUAUUUAUUUAUUUUAUUUAGCAAUUAUUUAAGAUCCUUAACUACAAGAAAAUUAAUUAUUAGCGAUGGCAUUUAACCAUUGCUAAUAAAGAAUAUUCUUGUAGUGCUUUCAAAAAUAAAUAAAUAAUAAAAUGUCACAAAUCCUCUAUGAAAAUCGGGAAUGGGUCUAGAUCAUGACAACUCCAGUCACUAGAAACUAGUCAGGGUG
RNAcentral lists this long non-coding RNA (472 nucleotides) under Elaeis guineensis (African oil palm). RNAcentral describes it as "long non-coding RNA (EGUI_LNC068263)". The record is from RNAcentral. Lineage: Eukaryota; Viridiplantae; Streptophyta; Magnoliopsida; Arecales; Arecaceae.